UAUGAAAAUUCUAAGGCGCUUGAGAGAACUCAGGAGAAGGGACUCGGCAAAUUGACACCGUAACUUCGGAAGAAGGUGUGCCCUGGUAGGUUGUAGCCGUACAGGCGAAGGCCGAAGGGGUUGCAAAAAAUCGGUGGCUGCGACUGUUUAAUAAAAACACAGCACUCUGCAAACACGAUGAGUGGACGUAUAGGGUGUGACGCCUGCCCGGUGCCGGAAGGUUAAAUGAUGGGGUGCAAGCUCUUGAUUGAAGCCCCGGUAAACGGCGGCCGUAACAAUAACGGUCCUAAGGUAGCGAAAUUCCUUGUCGGGUAAGUUCCGACCUGCACGAAUGGCGUAACGAUGGCCACACUGUCUCCUCCUGAGACUCAGCGAAGUUGAAAUGCUUGUGAUGAUGCAAUCUACCCGCGGCUAGACGGAAAGACCCCGUGCACCUUUACUGUAGCUUUGCAUUGGACUGUGAUGGGAUCUGUGUAGGAUAGGUGGGAGGCUUUGAAGUGGGGGCGCUAGCCCUCAUGGAGCCGUCGUUGAAAUACCACCCUGAUGUCAUUGCGGUUCUAACCUUGGCCCCUUAGCGGGGUUGGGGACAGUGCAUGGUAGGCAGUUUGACUGGGGCGGUCUCCUCCCAAAGAGUAACGGAGGAGCUCGAAGGUACGCUAGGUACGGUCGGACAUCGUGCUGAUAGUGCAAUGGCACAAGCGAGCUUGACUGCGAGACUGACAAGUCGAGCAGGUGCGAAAGCAGGACAUAGUGAUCCGGUGGUUCUGAAUGGAAGGGCCAUCGCUCAACGGAUAAAAGGUACGCCGGGGAUAACAGGCUGAUUCCUCCCAAGAGUUCAUAUCGACGGGGGAGUUUGGCACCUCGAUGUCGGCUCAUCACAUCCUGGGGCUGUAGCCGGUCCCAAGGGUAUGGCUGUUCGCCAUUUAAAGUGGUACGUGAGCUGGGUUUAAAACGUCGUGAGACAGUUUGGUCCCUAUCUGCCGUGGGCGUUGGACGUUUGAGGGGGGCUGCUCCUAGUACGAGAGGACCGGAGUGGACGCACCUCUGGUGUACCGGUUAUCACGCCAGUGGUAUUGCCGGGUAGCUAAGUGCGGAAGAGAUAAGCGCUGAAAGCAUCUAAGCGCGAAACUUGCCUCGAGAUGAGACGUCCCGUGAUGUAAGUCACCUAAAGGGUCGCGGUAGACCACCGCGUUGAUAGGUCGGGUGUGGAAGCGCAGUAAUGCGUUAAGCUAACCGAUACUAAUUGCCCGUGCGGCUUGAUCC
Molecule: ribosomal RNA, 1263 nt
Filed under: metagenome
Description: bacterial LSU rRNA
Rfam family: Bacterial large subunit ribosomal RNA
Source: RNAcentral